UUGAACUUUGUCCAUCUUUCUUCUUCAACUACUUCACAUGACCACGACACAAUAUUUUUCGCACUUCCUAACAACAAUCUUACGGAUUUUGCUUUCUCCUUUGCUCUUGGCAACAUCAUUUUUCUCAAUCUUUCGCUCCUCGCACAAAGGUUUGAAUUUUGAUGUCGGUAGUUCACUCUCUUAUAGGCACAGUGGUUCACUGUUCUCUCGUCUCCUCUAUCAACUUUCGUGUCGGCUCCUCGGAUAGGGUACUUCUACUGAUCUCGCUUGUAAUCCAUAUUUUGAAUUAUUUUGAAUAGACUUUUGUAAGCCCUUUCACGCGGCAUAGGCAUCGAGUGGCGGCGUUGAGAGUGGCUUGGCUGAGAAGCAGGAGAGCGACGACGACGAAGCUGUAGACGGCAGAGGUUAUGGCUUGCCCUAGUGCAUCUUUAGGUUUAUUGUUUGAUUUCGUUACUUAUGUCUAUAAUCUAGGUUUUAUUUGUUUGGAUUUGGAUUUGUUGCUCCCCGAGUAUACAAUGAUUCAAUUUCAACUUCCUUUCAAUUUCUUUGUCGAUUUUGCAGAGCAUUUUUGCCUUCAUUGUCAAUAUUUAGUUCACUGCAAAAGUUUUCAGAGGGAGUAUUUUAAGAAUUCCUGCUUAGUGAAAUUUAUUCUCUUUAUUUUUUGAAGCAUUUUUAAUUUUGAAUUGAUUUUUGUUUGCUGUUUUGAAGAUUGUCAAUAGAAUGGCUGAAAAUUUUUUGGUCUAUCCUGAAGAGCAUGUUAUUUGGUUUUUGGAAUGUUGCAGUGAUUUGGAGUUGUCAAAGACACUCAUCUUCUUUUUUUCUCUUGUAGUCUUUUUGUAUGAAACUAAAAGGUUUGCUUUCUCCUUCUUUUUUUAAAUUACAUGUUUUCAUAAAUAAAUGCUUUGAGCUAUAUCUUAGCUUUCCUUAGUUGUAGUUUGUUUGUUUCUAUUAGAUGCUUGUCAUAAACUUGUAAUUAAUUGACUUUUUUUUUUCUUGAGAUAAAAGAUGAAUACAUUUGUGCACUAUUUGAAUGUCUAUUUCCUAUUCUAAAGGCUGAGUGGGAAACCUCAAUAGCUGCUGAUGUCAUAUUGGAUGAGGAAUUGUUUUGCAGUUCAAUUUUGAAAUGCUAGAGUGGGAGGGCAAGGAUUUCUUAAAAGAUCUUUUGUAUCCAAUCUAAGGCCUAUAAACGGGAAGGUUGAAUAGUGAAACUAAAAUGUACUGGUUGGUUACCAUAGCAUUCUCAAUUACUAUUUUGACUCAAAUAACCUAUGAAUUGAUUUUCCUCACUUAAAAGAUUGCUUUCAAUUUUAAAUAUUUCAAAUAAUUUUGGCAGUUUUUAAUUUUGAAAAUCAAGAAUGCCAUUGCCUCCCGUAUUGGUUCAACCGAGGAACUUUUCAUAACUCUUGUCCUUUUUUAUUCAAUAUGUAAAUAUGAAUGGCUAGUGUCCCAUGUUAUGGUCAUUCCUCAGCAUGGAAUGUAUGACACAUACUCAAAACAAGCUUUACUCAUUACCCACUGUUGUUUUUACUUAGUUUGGACCAUUUGUUGGUAUAAAUUUGCCAUCUUUGAUACUACUUUGCUGUGGAUUCUGCUGCUUGAGGCUCUGCAGCAAAAAGGGGGUUUCAAGCUUAUGUUUAAUUCCUCAAUCAAUAGGUUUAUUGAUCCUCUGAGGUAAGCUCGCUGAUUAAAUUAUUUUACAACACGUUUUAUUAUUCUAUCAACACAUUCUUCUUGAAUUUCAAGACUUGCAACAGGAUUGUGUAGUGGUGGAUUUGAUUUCUUUUAUUUCAUUUUCACUAGUUUUCUUUCUGUCUUUUCAUAUUCAUUUCCAGUAUCAUCUACUGAUUUUUUUUUUCUAUUUAAAUGGAUUUUGUGUAUUCAGUUUGAUGUAUCAGAAUUCACAACAGAAAUCAGUUCAGUUGCCUUUGCUUGUGUUGGAAGGAAAUAUUUAUAGUGAAUUCAGUGCUCAAAUCCAUCUCUCAAUUCUUCUUUCAUGUGUGGACUAGCCUUUUUUUCUCACUAGAUUGAUUUGGUUGUUUGCUCUAUAUUAGAUAAUUUAGGGUUAUUACUUGGUGGUUUUCCCUAUUAUGUAUGAGGUUAUUGGUGUGAGAAGGAGGAGUUAAAAUAAAAGUAUAUGUGGUGAAGUUAAAAAUUAAAAUUACCUGGAACUGUGACAGUGAUAAUCACUGAUUCAUUAUAUUAUCAUGGCACUGUUAACUGCCAACUCAACUCAACAUCCCUACUUCUGACUCAGUCUCUGUCUGCAAUAAGUCAUAACCUGACAAGGUAAGGCAUUUUUACAUUUACUUUAUCUAUACUAUCUAUACUAAUAAUAAUAAUACACAAAAUAAAUGCUAUGUUAACCUCUCUCUCUUCUUUACUCUCUUUGCCUCUGCCUCUAACUAGAUAAUAUCAUCACCUUCCAAAGUAACAAAAACAGAAAAAGUGAACUCAAAGACUCAGCCAGUGUUGUUCACACGUACAUGCCACGCGUUACAAGGGUGGUGAGAUCGUUGCCACGGAAUUGAGACCCUUGAUUAUUUUGUCGGAUCAGAAUCUUAAGGGUGCAUGCGGGAGAGCACCAUCUGCAUGUAAUUGUUUCAUUUGAAGUCAAUGCAUUUCACGGUUGAUUCAAAGGACAACCAAGAUGUCCUCUGCCUUCACUGGUAAUCACAUUUUAUCUCUUAAAUCUAAUCAAUAGUGUAAUGAAUAUUCUUGUGCAUGAAUGAAUGGCUUGACAUUUGAUAUGUUGCAUUUGUUAAAUGGCCUGGCCAUUUAACAAAUGAAAUAAUUAAAAAAAUGCCAGUUUUGUAAAUUAAACCAACUUAUCAGCUUUGGGUACGAAGAAACUACAGUAGAAAACCUUUUACGCCUCAAUUCAGGGGGAACUGAAUCCUUAAAAAUUUGCAUUCAAUUUAAAAAAUUCAAAAUGAUGUGAAUUUUGAAAAUUUUGGAAAACUUUAUAUUUCGGUUAUAUUAGAAUUGGGGUAGAAAAGUUUAGCAUAAACAAGCUUGAUGCAAGGAUUAUAUUAGAAUUGGGGUAGAAAAGUUUAGCAUAAACAAGCUUGAUGCAAGGAUUUGAUAAAGAAAAGUGCAUAAAGAUCAUGUGGUUGAUGAAGAUUGAUGAAGAUCCACUUGAAUAUUAUGUUUCUAUAGUUUUAAAUUAGGAAAUAAUGUGUUAAAUGUAAUGGUUACAUGCUACAUCAUAUUCGUAGGCUAGAUGACAUAUGUUAGAUGUUUGUUUAGUCUUUGUGUGUCCUUUUUAAUAUGUUAAAAUGGGUUUUAACAGGUUAAAAGGCUUGUUGUAUAUAGUUUAUGGUAUGAAUGCAUUCAACCACUUUAAUUGGUCUUUAAUCGACUGAUUUCACUUAAGUCAAGUGAAAUCAAUUGAUUGUAUGAAAAAUUCAACCGAUUGAUUUCACUUAAGAUGAGACUAUAUAAGUUGUGUUUUCGAGAGCAAAGGUCUGAUUCUGAGUUUUUGAGUUUGAAAACCUAUUAUUCAUCACUAGAAAAAACUUCUUCUCUAAAUUACACAACUGCAAGGUGAAGAUUGAAGAUCUUGGUUGAUCUUAGUGGCAUUUUGGCCUGGUGGAAGCUUGAAGAACUCGUGUAUGGUUGGCUAGGGAGAGCCAACAUUAGGUUUUGUAGUUCUUGUGCCUUUGGUUGUUUACUUAGUGUGAUUUUAGGUCUUUGAGUGUGAUUCUUGUAGGGUUAUAAUCUAUAUUUUUUUGUGAGUAAAAAAUCUUGGUAUUUUUCUUUCUUCAAAAGUGUAAUGUUGGUGUGUGAUUUGUAAAACAUUUUAAUAUAGUGGAAACCAAACUCAGGUUAUCUUGGUAAA
Molecule: long non-coding RNA, 3838 nt
Organism: Vigna unguiculata (cowpea)
Lineage: Eukaryota; Viridiplantae; Streptophyta; Magnoliopsida; Fabales; Fabaceae
Source: RefSeq, a predicted model, not a curated record